Molecule: long non-coding RNA, 435 nt
Filed under: Oryzias javanicus (javanese ricefish)
Lineage: Eukaryota; Metazoa; Chordata; Actinopteri; Beloniformes; Adrianichthyidae
Description: lncRNA (ENSOJAG00000011174.1)
Source: RNAcentral
AUGGGUUCAUCACUGAUACCAGCAAAGAAGUACGUUUUGCUCUUGGUGGACACGCGGGCAUUGCUGGUGCUCAAAGGCUUAUCCCCAUUCAGCUUCAUGUUUGGUCCAGUCGGACGAAAGUCAAGUGCCAGGCAUACAUCUGGAGACUUGGAGCUUGUUGGGGUGGGGGGGGUGUUGGGCCUCAACUGGGGGCGCUGGAUGAACAGUGUGGGGAGAACAGGAGAACUGUCUGCAGGAAUGACGGUGAGCCUGAUCGGGUCUCCAAAUAUAAGUACGUAGACACGGCGAAAAACAGCCGUACAAAAACUGUUGAAUUGUUUUUCUAUGGCAGCGUGCAGCAGAAAGUGAGUGUGGUUUGAGGUUUCCUCAAAGCGAACCUUAUCUGAUGGAGGGGUUGGGGAGGGGGAUUUUCUGGAAGGUGACGUCAAGAAUGAG